UUGUUAAACAACAUUAGCUUCUACUCCUAAAAAUAUCUUCCGGAAUUUAAAGUUGCUUUAAAUAACAUAAUCGGUAAUUUUUGAAUUUGUGAAGAUGAAAAACAACUAUAAUCACAACUAGGCAUACGACCUGAAGAUCUGCUCAACAAACUGGGGAAAAACAAAAUAACAGAACUGCCACGACAGGGAAAGACAAGAAGAUUAAUAAAGGAACGGCUAUUUCAAACAACCAAAAUGUCCAUACUAAGAGUUCUUUGGUAAAAGCCAGGAAGACAGAAGGGCAUGGCUAGAGUAUGCCUAGUGCAAAUUCAGGCAAGGAAACGCAAGAGUAAUCAUCAUAGUAAUGUGCAAACUAUUUAGAUACUUCAUGUCCAUGUCGUCUUGGUAUCCUUGUUCAUGUCAUCUUGGAAUCCUAUGUCCAUGUGCAUGUCAUGGUAUCCCAUGUCUUGUGCACGCGCGUGCUUCAUAAGGACACACCUAAUGUUAGCUACGUCAUUAACCCAAAGUUUUAAAACCAUUUAGCGGGAAUGAUGUUCUCCACGAGAUUGGUAUGUAUAGAGUCAAACCCCAAAGAGGCAAAGAUAAAGCCACGAAUCAUAAUAACUCGUGAUGGUUGAUAUAUGAAAUCUAGAAGAAAAAAGAAACAACUUUAAUUCAUGCAUGACUACAUACUGCCAAUGUUACAUUUAAGAUCAAUAUAAUAGUGUAUGCUCCAGGAUUUUAGAAAGGAUAUAAAUUUUUUGUAUGUUUUGGUUCGGUGAGCGAGUGGAAUGGGUUUACUUUUUCAUGCUCCCAGAGGUUUUGAUUGUAUAUAUAGAUUUCGCCCCCUUUUAGGGGUUUUAAUGAAUUUACUCUUUACUUUAAAAAAAAAAUUACAUUCAAGAAAUUAUGCUCUGAGAUCUGAAAGAACUGAACUCAAAAUUGGAAAAAUAAAGUAUAGUAGGAUCACAAAAUACAUACAACUACACACAGCAAUUUAUAGUCCAUACAAGUGCAUACCAUUCAUACAUUUCUCCAAUCUGUUCCUCCUAUUUUAUUUUAUUUUUUCAUUUGUAAACAACUGUGCAGACCUAUAUAAUUUCAGUUGACGUUCAUAAAGGGAACACAGUGCAAUAAGACAAGAAAACACAAUGAGAUUCAUUACAUAACAAAUAUUACCCCCUUUCAGAUUCAAUGAUUAACUCGUAUAGAAAUAUUAAAAAAAUCCAUUUCAAAAAAUCAAUCCAAAGAUAGAUCCAUGAUCGAUUCAACCUAACUUAUUGCGCUCGGGAAAUCAAAUUACAUAAACAAAAUCUGGGAAAAAGGAAUAGAAAGAAUUACAAGUGAAGAAGGUGAGCUGAUUUACUUACCCAAAACUUUGAGCCUCGGCGGCUAAGUCAGUUACGGAAGGCGGAGACGGGAGGAAUAGUACUACUUCGCGUGGGUUUAGUUUAAAACGAGUCAAAGGGCUUCUGUUCGUACUUUGAUGCCCAAUCAAAAGGGUUGUCAUCAAUACAAUCACCUCCCGUUAUUAUUUAUUUAAUUGAUCAAGUUAAAUUUAUAUUAACCACUCUCUAAUUAAAGACUG
Molecule: long non-coding RNA, 1567 nt
Filed under: Panax ginseng (ginseng)
Lineage: Eukaryota; Viridiplantae; Streptophyta; Magnoliopsida; Apiales; Araliaceae
Description: long non-coding RNA (PGIN_LNC017231)
Source: RNAcentral